CUUUUCUUUUUUUUUUUCAGACAGAGUCUCACCCUGUCAUCCAGGCUGGAGGUUCACUGCAGCCUCAAACUCCUAUGCUCAAGUGAUCCUCCCACUUCAACUUCCCAAGUAGCUGGGACUACAGGUGUGUACCACCACACCAAACUAAUUGUUUCUCUUUAAACAAAUGUCAUAGAGAAGAGGUCUCAUUAUGCUGUCCAGGCUGGUCUCGAACUCUUGGGCUCAAGUGAUCCUUCUGCCCUGGCCUCCCAAAGUGUUGGGAUUAUAGGCAUGAGGCACUGUGCCCAGCCAGUCACUUUUCUUUCAUUCAAAGCCAAUGUGUUGCUGGGGUCGUGUAGGCUAUGUUUUUGAGUAUACCAUUUAUAUUCCUAAGUUAGGAUGUUUGUGUCCUUGUUAGUCAUUGAGUCCGAUUUGACCUUUCACAAAUGAGAAUUUCAGGCCAGAGAGCAAAAAGCCCUUUAUAGGUCAGGUGUUCAGUUUCAGCAAGAGCCCAGUAGCAAGCUAAUAGUUGUUUUCUAAAAGCAGUGCACCUGGUAGCUAUGUUAAGGAGGCCAAAAGUCUAAAACUCCAAAAGGCACCUCUCGGAGGUGGAGGUUGUCUCCCUUUACCAGAGGCUGACAUUUGAAAAAUUAUAAGUUGUAGAGAUUUGUACUAUCUGUAACACUCAAAGUAUUUAAUAGGUUGCUGGGCAUCCCUUUUGAUGCUGGAGCCAAAAAGAGGAAAGAUUUCCCCUGAAUAUCAAACUCAUCGUUGUGAAUCCACUCACAUCUUCUCAACUUUUAAAUAGCAAGGCUGUUUGGUAUUUAAAAUUUGGUAGCCUAUGCUGAAGAAGGGUGAUUGCACUACAGUUAGGGCCUUCAACACUAAAGUUUCUGAUGAACCAAUUGACAGUACAUCAUCCGUAUAGUAAGUGCCUUAAACAUUAGAGGAUAGAGGCACUCAUGGCAAAUCCUGAUCCACCUAGUGGCAGAUGGCAGGGGAGUUGGCUUCAGUAGCAUCUUUCUAUCUGCAGCUCUCUCAUUGUUGGGAUAAUCUUCUCUGGCAAAUAUGGAGUGGAGAAGUUCAAGCAUAUGACACAUCAAUUCUCUUGAUUCAGCUAUUCCACUUCUAGGAAGAUACACCUUCAAUAGCAUGAAAAUCCAAAUGCAACACAGUAUAUACUGAAGCAUCAUAUGCAGCUGUAAAAUACUGGAAAUAAUCUAAAUGUCCUA
This 1211-nucleotide long non-coding RNA is filed under the name Homo sapiens (human). Its description in RNAcentral is "HSALNT0077823". Lineage: Eukaryota; Metazoa; Chordata; Mammalia; Primates; Hominidae. The record is from RNAcentral.